GAUAUUGGACAAUGGGCGAAAGCCUGACCCAGUCAUGCCGCGUGUGUGAAGAAGGUCUUCGGAUUGUAACGCACUUUAAGUUGGGAGCAAGGGCAACAACUUAAUACCUUCCUGUUUUGACGUCACCGACAGAAUAAGCACCGGCUAACUUCGUACCAUCAGCCGCGGUAAUACGAAGGGUGCAAGCGUUAAUCGGAAUUACUGGGCGUAAAGCGCGCGUAGGUGGUUUGUUAAGUUGGAAGUGAAAGCCCCGGGCUCAACCUGGGAACUGCUUUCAAAACUGGCAAGCUAGAGUAUGGCAGAGGGUGGUGGAAUUUCCUGUGUAGCGGUGAAAUGCGUAGAUAUAGGAAGGAACACCAGUGGCGAAGGCGACCACCUGGGCUAAUACUGACACUGAGGUGCGAAAGCGUGGGGAGCAAAC
This 421-nucleotide ribosomal RNA is filed under the name uncultured bacterium. Its description in RNAcentral is "partial 16S ribosomal RNA". It matches the Rfam family "Bacterial small subunit ribosomal RNA", at positions 359 to 773 of the family's 1533-position model. The record is from RNAcentral.